GUCUAUGGCCAUACCACCCUGAGGCACCCAACCUCAUUUAAUCUUGGAAACUAAGGAUUGCAGGCUGGUUAAUACUUGGAUGUGAGACAAAUAUGUCUCCAUAGAAA
RNAcentral lists this ribosomal RNA (107 nucleotides) under Meriones unguiculatus (Mongolian gerbil). The record is from RNAcentral. Lineage: Eukaryota; Metazoa; Chordata; Mammalia; Rodentia; Muridae.